This 2172-nucleotide long non-coding RNA is filed under the name Homo sapiens (human). RNAcentral's name for it is "non-protein coding lnc-CRIPT-5:1". Lineage: Eukaryota; Metazoa; Chordata; Mammalia; Primates; Hominidae. The record is from RNAcentral.
UUUAUUUCUGUCUGUUCCAUUCCAUUGGUCUAUGGGUCUGUUUUUAUAUCUGUACCAUGCUGUUUUGGUUACUGUAGCUUCCUUAUAGUAUAGUUUAACUCAGGUAAUGUGAUACCUCAGCUUUGUUUUAUUUGCUUAGGAUUGAUUUUUUGGUUCCAUAUGAAUUUUAGAAUGGAUUUUUUCUUUUUUUUUUUUUUUGAGACGGAGUCUUGCUGUGUCUCCCAGGCUCUGAGUGCAGCUGUGCAAUCUCAGCUCACUGCAACCUCUGCCUCCUGAGUUCAAGCAAUUCUCCUGCCUCAGCCUCCCAAAUAGCUGGGAUUACAGGAGCCCGCCAACCAUGCCCAGCUAAUUUAUGUAAUUUUAGUAGAGAUGGGGUUUCAUCAUCUUAGCCAGGCUGGUCUUGAACUCCUGACGUUGUGAUCCACCCGCCUCAGCCUCCCAAAGUGCUGGGAUUACAGGCGUGAGCCACUGGACCCGGCAGGAUUUUUCUAAUUCUGUGAAAAAUGAUGUUUGUAGUUUGAUAGGAAUAGCAUUGAAUCUGUGGAUUGCUUUGGGCAGUAUGGCCAUUUUAAUGAUAUUGAUUCUUCUAGCUCAUGAGCUUGGAAUGUUUUUCCAUUUGUUUGUGUCAUCUCUGAUUUCUUUCAGCGUGUUUUGUAGUUCUUGUCCAGCUCACAUUUUAUCUUCAUACUUUGAGUAGCCUCCUUCCAUGAAUGGAUCAUCCAGUGGCCGCACUUAGGUUCUCCUAUGAAGAUUUUUGUUGUAUUGUACCUCAGAACCAUCUCCAUAUUCUCUAAAUAAUAAUAAUGAUGGUCAUAAAUUGAAUAGAAGUAUUUACUAGAUGAGGAGGAAAACCCUAAAACAAAACAUGAACAUAAAAUAUUUUUAAAAGGAAGACAUACAAACAGACACUAUAACCAAAUAAGAUGACAGAAUUAAGGCCUUAUGCCACAGCCAGAGUUGAAAAAUGCAGAAAAAAAGUUUAAAAACAAGGAAUUAAAGCCAAACCUAACUUUUAUCAAAAUAAAUGUAAAAGUGAUGAAAGAAUCUGUUAAGAUAUCAGAUUGUAAUAUAAAAGAUACUAGAAACAAAUGCCAAUAGAACACUUAAGUACAUUUUAUAUAUUCAUCCAUUAGAAUAUAUAGCUGUCAGAAUGAUAGAAGAAUUACAUAUGUGUGCAAAAGUUUUUGUAUCCAUGUGGAAAACACAGGAAGCUAAUAGUACUGUUUUUCUCUGGAGUGGGUGUAAGGGUAGAGACUUAACUCUUUACAUCCUUAUGGCAGCCUUCGAAUACCUUUUAACUCCCAGUUCCCUUAACUGGGGGUGUGUAUCCUAGAAUCCUCGACCCAUUAGAAAGUAUAUUGUAGACAUCAUACUCUUUACCCUUUAACACUACACAUGCACUUCAUAAGAACAAGCAUGCUGUCUUACCCAAGUACAGCUAUCAAGUUCAGAAAUUUAACAUUGCCAUAAUACUUUACAGUCCAUAUUUCAAUUUCAUUUGCUGUUUUAUUGGUAAUUUUUUUCAGCUCCACGAUCCAGCCUAGGAUCAUAUGUUGUAUUGCCAUAACCCUCUAAUCUGGAGCAGUUCCUCAGCUUUUCUUUGUUUUUUAUAAUAGUAAUAUAUUUGAAAAAUACAGGACAGCUAAAGGAUAGAGUAUCCUUCUAUUUGGGUUUUUCUGAUGUUUCCUCAUGGUUAGAUUGGGGUAGUGCAGUGAGGGUUGAAAUGCUGUAAGUGAUAUGUAUUGCAGGUAUACAUCCAGAUGCACAGAAUGUCCAUUUGUCCCUUAUUGGUGAUGCUAAUUUUGAUCACUUGGGUAAGAUGUCCAGUUUCUCCAGUGUAUCGUUAUUGUUUUUCCUUUUGCAAUUAGUGGGUAAUUUGUGAGGAGAAACUUUGAGACCUUGUUGACAAUUCUGUUCCUCAUCAAAUCUACCCCUCCUAGGUUUAGCAUCCUUUGACGAUUCUUGUCUGAAUAAAUUUUUACUAGGAUGUUUCCAAAAUUGUGAUUGUUCUAACUCUAUUAUUAUUUCUGUAUUAAUUAGUCAUCAUUCUACUGUAAGGAAGAGGUUUCCCUUUAUCAUCAACUUCGAGUAAGUACUUUUUUCUGAGCCAUUUGAAUAUUCCUUACUAGAUGUGGUGCCUCUUUACCCCAAUUACUUAAGUUUGUAUUUCCA